UACGGGGGGAACGAGCGUUGUUCGGAUUUACUGGGCGUAAAGGGCACGCAGGUGGGAAAGCAAGUCAGGUGUGAAAUCCCGAGGCUUAACUUCGGGACUGCAUUUGAUACUGCUUUUCUUGAGUACGAGAGAGGAUGGCGGAAUUCUUGGUGUAGCGGUGAAAUGCGUAGAUAUCAAGAAGAACACCGGUGGCGAAGGCGGCCAUCUGGCUCGAGACUGACGCUCAUGUGCGAAGGCCGGGGGAGCAAACAGG
RNAcentral lists this ribosomal RNA (253 nucleotides) under uncultured bacterium. RNAcentral's name for it is "partial 16S ribosomal RNA". It matches the Rfam family "Bacterial small subunit ribosomal RNA", at positions 524 to 776 of the family's 1533-position model. The record is from RNAcentral.